UACUGUUGUUGAGGAUAAGAAACUACUGGUGAAGGAGAUCAAAACUUUGGCUGGCUCCAGGCAGGAAGUCUUCUUUUCUCACAUCUUUCGGGAAGCCAAUUGGGGAUGUUUUAUAGCCAAGGAAGCGUAUGGGAUGUCUGAAGAUUUUUCUCUCUUCUCUGUUAUUCCCAAUGUAUUUACCUGAUUCUGUUAGCAGACUCUGGGGAGUCUCGUUUUGUAGGGGUUCUUAGUUGGGGCUUCGGCCCUUUUGCUCACAAAAAAAAAAAAAAAAAAGAAACUACUGGGUGGGGCUUUUGGUGUUUCUGAAGUUGCGCUGAAAUAGAGACAAUCGGUUGGGGUUGGUAGUGUUGCGUUGCGUAUUUGUUAAAUUGAUGCAGCACGGUGCACGCUGCAGUGAAGUAAUCCCUUUUGGUGGUGUUGUGGGUAAUGCUUCUCAGCAAUUCUAGUCCACCAUUUUCAUUUGUCUCAGGAAUCACUAUGAGUACGACUACGGGAAUAACUCCAAGAGAUUCUCUUUUGCUUAAGCCCAACCCUUUAUCUUCUAUUAGUUCACUCCAUUGUCUCCAGCAUGGUAACAAUACGAUUAGAGUUCCUGUGACUAUAAGAAUUCAACCAGAGAGGUUUUGUCAUGGUGCGCUAACCAUCGGGAAUGAAGUGCCACAAAAUGCUGAUUUUCCUCGGCAGUAUUCCAGAAAAGAGAAGAAACCUUUUCCAGUUCCCAUUGUAGAACUGCGACGAGCAGGGAGAGGAUGAAGAUGAAAGAUGUGCCGAUAAAACAUGUCAGCACCUAAGAAUGGGUUGCUGGUGAAGAGCCUUAUACCGACUGCAUAUAAUGUGUAUAAUGCUACUAGGAUCACUUUGAUCAACAAUCUGAAGAAGCUGCUCAAAGUGGUGCCUGUGCAUGCUUGUGGGUGGUGCAGUGAAAUCCAUUUAGGAUCUGUUGGACAUUCAUUCAAGUCAUGUAAAGGCACACAGGCCAACAUCCGCUAGGGCCUCCACGAAUGGACGAAUGCACAUGUUGAAGACAUAUUAAUUCCAAUUGAAGCCUAUCACCUCUUUGAUCGUCUUGGAAAACGGAUUACUCAUGAAGAGAGAUUCUCUAUCCCUCGAAUUCCAGCAGUGGUUGAGCUCCGCAUUCAAGCCAGUGUUGAAAUUCCAGAGUUUCCCACCAAAAGGAGAAGAAAGCCUAUCAUCCGUAUUUGGAGGAAGGAAUUCAUUGAUGCUGAUGAAAGUAAUCUACCAGAUAAAAUCUCAGAGGGCCCUUUAAAACCAUUACUAGCUGAAAUACCUGAUUAAUGAAGUAUAGUCCCUCUUGCCGAGGAAACUCUCCAAGCAUGGAACGGGUGAGGAAAGGUGCGAAGAGACUAAUGAGGAUGUACAAUGUGAGGGUGUGUGGAUAUUGCCCUGAAAUUCAUGUUGGUGCCCAGGGUCUCAAAGCUAAAAACUGUGAAGCCCAUAAACACCAACAACGCAAUGGGCAGCAUGGUUGGCAGUCUGCAGUUCUGGAUGAUUUGAUCCCUCCAAGAUUUGUAUGGCAUGUUCCUGAUGUAAAUGCACUGCUAGAACGAGAGCUUAGGAAUUCUUAUGGCCAGGCGCAUGUAGAAGUGGAAAUGUGCAUUCAGGCUGGUGCUGCCUUACCAGAACAGUAUAAAUCGACCAUGCGGCUGGAUGUGGGGAUCCCAUCAACUUUGAAAGAAGCUGACAUGGUAGUUUGAGAUUAAUUUCCCUUAUAGACAAACCCCAACUUUUGAAUAUAGUGUAAAUUGUGUCAAACUGGAUGCAAUGAUAAUUUACUGAUUUAUUUAGGGACUAGAAUAAGCAUCACUUUGGUUAGUUCUAUUUGGGGGUAUAUAUGCCAUCUAGACAAACGCUGUCAUUUUCUAUCCUCUGCAUGCAGGCAAAAGAUAUAUAAAAUUGUCAGUGUAAGAUUGAUGUUGUAAAAAUUCUUAUUCAAGCUUAUUUGCAAUUUCUCUCAACUCAA
RNA transcript from Glycine soja, 1981 nucleotides. It is a transcript of the gene named APO protein 2, chloroplastic-like, with no coding region annotated. The record is from RefSeq and is a predicted model, not a curated record. The transcript has 3 exons. Lineage: Eukaryota; Viridiplantae; Streptophyta; Magnoliopsida; Fabales; Fabaceae.